Molecule: long non-coding RNA, 552 nt
Organism: Numida meleagris (helmeted guineafowl)
Lineage: Eukaryota; Metazoa; Chordata; Aves; Galliformes; Numididae
Exons: 3
Source: RefSeq, a predicted model, not a curated record
AGCUGGAACAGGAACUUGAGCUGAACCCAAAGCACCUGUGCUUGUGAGUGAUCUCCUGCUGGGCUUCUCAUGCCUGGGUCUGCAGCAGCAGGUUCCAGCCACAUCUGAGAGAAGGUGCUGCAGUGCUGAUGACAGAGUUUCCAGGGAAUCAGUGGGAAGUGAUGGCAGUGCCAAGACUCUUUGACUGCAGUUUCUGUCCUCAGGUGCUUGGGAUCCUUGCUGAAAGACUCAGGAAAGAUUAUGGAAAAGAACUUCAGUUUUGCUCUUAAAAGGAGUGAGGAUGACAGAAAUGACUGCUAGCCAAAAAGAGGAGAGAUCUCAUCAUUCUUGUGUGUGCCGUAUCUGCCAGGUCAGACAUCCUAGGCUCCAAGCACCAUAUAAAUCCUGGUCAGAGUCUGUAUCUUUUUUCUGUCCUGCAAUGAUGUAAAAAUAUCUGUGCAAAGUACAAUGUUGUUUACAGCUGGUUACUAUAGAAAAAACAAAUUGUUCUCCUUUCAAAAUAAGUCAAAUGUAAGUUGAGUGAGGUAUUUUUCUGUAAGUUCAUGUGCUCAU